Danio rerio (zebrafish) is the source of this 299-nucleotide non-coding RNA. The record is from RefSeq and is a predicted model, not a curated record. NCBI's taxonomy places the organism in Eukaryota, Metazoa, Chordata, Actinopteri, Cypriniformes, Danionidae.
CGGUACUUCCUGUUCUCGUGACUGACAAGAGAAACUUCACUGUGCAGGAGGAUGAAGAGACGAACAUCAGGAGUCAGAGAAGAAGAUGAACUGAAGACUGGAGAAUGCAAAACAAAUCAACACGAGCAGCGAAAUAAUAUGAUAAUAAUAUGAAGAUCAGUAUUAUCAGUUUAUACAUGAACAGAGAUGAUGAUGAUGAGCUGAUGAAGAGCAGAAGAUGUCCAGCAGAGAAAGCAGAGCCGUCAUUCGUGGUUCUGCUCACAAGAGAAGUCAGAGCAAAGAGAUAGAGCCACCAUUCA